UGCAGAAUCCCGUGAACCAUCGAGUCUUUGAACGCAAGUUGCGCCCGAGGGACCCUCCCGAGGGCACGCCUGCCUCAUGGGCGUUAGAAGCCCAUCCACGCUCGGUUGCCUAGCUAACGGCAAAGAUGCGGACAUUGGCCCUCCGAACCGCGAGGCGCGGUGGGCCUAAGUGUGCGGCCGUCGUACGUGGCCGGGAGCGGCGAGUGGUGGGCUACUGCGCACGUCACCCCGAGCCCCGUACCGACGCAGGGCCUUUUACGGCCCCCUAACGAGGAGCACGCCUCUGCGGCUUCGGCUGCGCGGCGCCUUCGGACCGAUACCCCAGGUCAGGCGGGGCUACCCGCCGAGUUUAAGCAUAUAAAUAAGCGGAGGAGAAGAAACUUACAAGGAUUCCCCUAGUAACGGCGAGCGAACCGGGAGACGCCCAGCCUUAGAAUCGCGGCGGCACUGCCGUCCGA
This 458-nucleotide ribosomal RNA is filed under the name Carex capillaris. Its description in RNAcentral is "eukaryotic LSU rRNA". The stretch from base 317 to 458 matches the Rfam family "Eukaryotic large subunit ribosomal RNA", at positions 1 to 141 of the family's 3401-position model. The record is from RNAcentral. Lineage: Eukaryota; Viridiplantae; Streptophyta; Magnoliopsida; Poales; Cyperaceae.